This 519-nucleotide ribosomal RNA is filed under the name uncultured eukaryote. Its description in RNAcentral is "SSU rRNA". It matches the Rfam family "Eukaryotic small subunit ribosomal RNA", at positions 1161 to 1700 of the family's 1831-position model. The record is from RNAcentral.
AGGGCACCACCAGGAGUGGAGCCUGCGGCUUAAUUUGACUCAACACGGGAAAACUUACCCGGCCCGGACACUGGGAGGAUUGACAGAUUGAGAGCUCCUUCUUGAUUCAGUGGGUGGUGGUGCAUGGCCGUUCUUAGUUGGUGGAGCGAUUUGUCUGGUUAAUUCCGAUAACGAACGAGGCUCUAGCCUACUAAAUAGACUGUCAACUCUUAUGCGUUGACAGGACUUCUUAGAGGGACAGGCGGCGAUUCAGCCGCACGAAACAGAGCAAUAACAGGUCUGUGAUGCCCUUAGAUGUCCGGGGCCGCACGCGCGCUACACUGAAGUGAUCAGCAUGCGUUCAAAACCUGCUCUGACAAGAGUGGGGAACCGAUGAACCUUCUUCGUGAUAGGGAUUGGGCAUUGUAAUUAUUGCCCAUGAACGAGGAAUUCCCAGUAAGCGUGAGUCAUAAGCUCGCGUUGAUUACGUCCCUGCCCUUUGUACACACCGCCCGUCGCUACUACCGAUUGAAUGAUUUA